Molecule: unclassified non-coding RNA, 437 nt
Filed under: Hevea brasiliensis (rubber tree)
Lineage: Eukaryota; Viridiplantae; Streptophyta; Magnoliopsida; Malpighiales; Euphorbiaceae
Source: RNAcentral
GUGUGUACAUAUAAGUAGCCCAAAACAGGAAAGAAAAUUCACACCUCUGCUCUCCUUAGAUUCCGGACAGCUUUCUCACCGGAACUAAUCAUUCAAGCAAGAAGUCUCUAACGGUUCCCUCUAUUUCUCCCUCUCUGAAUCAUCAUUUCCUCUUUUUUUUUUUCUUUUUUUUUUUUUUUUUUGAGGGCGUUUUCGCUCGCUUAAUUCCUCUCUUGGGGGAUUUGAUUUUCCCGGAUGCUCAUGUCGUCCGGUGGUCCCGCCACCACCGCCGCCUCCACCAACGUUAGCCCCAGUAGCCACCCUGGACCCACCACCACUAGGCGACGCGUUGAUGCCGCAGAUAAGUCUUCUACCUUUUCCGACUAUUAUGAUGUUGUCUCUGACGAAGAAGACGCUCUUAACGGCUCUUCCGCUGGGUCCCAUCACCACCACCACCA